This is a non-coding RNA of Cajanus cajan (pigeon pea), 1064 nucleotides long. NCBI's taxonomy places the organism in Eukaryota, Viridiplantae, Streptophyta, Magnoliopsida, Fabales, Fabaceae. The record is from RefSeq and is a predicted model, not a curated record.
UUUUAAUAACCUAUUUUCUUAGGUUAGUUGAGAAAUUGAUUACUAGAUAAUUGAUUUCUCAAGGCUUUAAAUUUUUUUUUUCAAAGCUUAGUGAUAAAUUGGUUACUUAAUAAUUGAUUUCUCAAUUGAGUUGUUUUUUUUUCUCAUUUUUUUAUAUUUUAUGGUGGAGAGGUAGAGACUUGAAACAAAUACUUUUCACCUCCUAGUUGGUGAGUGCAUGAUCACUUUGAAAGAUGGGGUGCUACAGUUGGAUUCGAGGAUCGACAACAAAUCAGUCACUGGACCAACUUUCUUUGACUAAGAAUAAUUGUGUUAUGAGUUGUUAGGCUUCAUACCUCUAAAAAGGGAAGCUCUGAUUGACUCAAUCAUAAAACUAAAAUGGUUAAAAGAUCAGACAAUUGCACUACUGGAUGAACCCACUGAACAACAAUUGCACCAACAUUGUAGGACAUAUAUUUUAGGAUUAAUUGGUGGUGUAAUUAUGCCAGACAAGCUAGGUAACAAACUUUACUUAAUGUAUUUACCAUUGUUGGCUGACUUGGAAUAUGUAGGACGAUAUAGUUGGGAUUUUGUUUGUUUGGCACAUUUGUAUAGAGAAAUGUGUAGGCAAUUUAACUUAUAUAUCACUUUAAUACAUCGAACAACUACAUUCUACCUAAUUUUAAUUAAUGUACAAUUUUUUUAGAUGGUCACGAAGAAGACUAAGAUUUACAGACACGCCUCAUGGAGAUUUACUUGGCUAUAGAUUAAGAUAUGACAACAUGAAUUAUAAUGAGUUUCUGUGGAUGCCAUACAGGGGAUUUGAGUCCUCGUUGCCAACAUGCUUAUAAGGAUUCCAAAAUAUAGACUUCUUGUACUGUUUUAACUUCAUUUGAGUCCUCGUUGCCAACAAGGAACUGAUAACCUCCAAGGUGUGGAACUGAUAGGCAUAGACAUCAUUAAAUUAAUUUAAUGUUAUGUAAUUUGGUGGAUUGUGAUUGCGUUGUUGUUCUUGUUUAUUCGAUCGCAUAUUCUGUUGGGAUAAAUAUUUCAAAAAUGUUCAUCUCAAUGAAAGUAUUAUUUGA